This is a long non-coding RNA of Aquila chrysaetos chrysaetos, 3595 nucleotides long. RefSeq lists it as uncharacterized. Lineage: Eukaryota; Metazoa; Chordata; Aves; Accipitriformes; Accipitridae. The record is from RefSeq and is a predicted model, not a curated record. The transcript is spliced from 3 exons.
GUUAAAUUAAUGAUACGGAGGCAAGAGUUCUGUCUGCAAAAAGCAUGCUGUCAUUUCCUCUGGCUUGUAGCAUUUCCUUUGCCAUCUCCUCCACAAUUUUGUUUAGCUUGCAACAACAGAAAUGGCCUAGCAUGGAGUGUGUUCCGCACGCAUGCAAAAAAGGUAACGGGAUCCGCAGAGAAUUUUUUUAAAGUUGGGUUUGCACUCUUGUGCUGUCUCUUUGUGAAAUGUAAGGAAGAUUGACAGUUGAGGGAUUGCAAUAAACUGUGGUGUUUUCUUUUGCUCCUCUCCCCUCGCCACUUCUAAUUAUCUGAAUUGUCAAGUCUGGGAUCCCUCAGUCUGACAGAAGUGAUGCUCGGAGGGGAGAGGCUUAACAACUUGCUUACAUUCAGCUCUUCAGGCAUAAUCAAAGGUUGGGUUUGCUGUAUCUUUUACAUGUGAUUGUUUGACCCAAAACAGUGGUCGUUUAAGUUGAAAGAAGUGGCUUGAAAACAAAUAGAAAAUAAGAGCUGUAAACUGACCUAAAUUCCUCCUCUUGACUCCUGGGUCACCCUACCAGCCUCCAGGUGCCAUGGGCUGUUUACACUGGACUUAAAAAAAUGAAGGCAAGAGCUUGCAGGUCCCUACCUUUGCAUCUCCACCAGUGUUUGACCCAGUCUGUAACCUCUGUUCCCUGGGACAGAGAAAGGAGAGUGCUUAACACUAGCAGCCAGCCUACACUGUUGCGCCUGUGUGAGGAAGUGUCUGAAAACCACUAAAAGUUUGACAGGAUUAUACUUAGAUGAAUCUUCUGAUAGAAGAGGCCAAGUAGCCCUUCCCCUGCAGUAGCUACUGUCAGCUGGAUAUAGAGUUUUAUUUUUAUGCUUGAAGAGGGAAGGUGAGAGGCAUGGGACAGGGACAAAUAUGCGAAUGUCUGUCCUGUGGUUUCAGGAGCUGGUAAGAAGUACAUAAUUUGGGGUCAGUGGCCCUUCUUCUCAGCUGCUGCUGGCUACACAGGUGUGAUGCAACAGAAAUGGCUCCCCCUCUCAAAGCCCCAUGGAGUAUAAAUCAAGGAGGAAAGUAAUUCGCACAAUUAGAGAAAGGAUAAAGGACUCGCCUGUGGAGCAGGAAGGGAAGGAAACAUACUUACAGUCAGCUGAAUGAUGGAUGAACAGCAAAACACCUUCUCUACAUGUGCAUAUAACCCAAGCUCAGAUCUGCUAGUGCAGCUUCACUCCAGACAGACAGUUCAGUCUAACUAUACGUAUGGUUAAAACAGCCCAGACAUCAGAGUGAGUAGCAGUAGCUGGAAAACUGAAAGAUCUGCAUGUGCUAAAGAGCCCUGAAAGUGAUGGAUAGUUUGUUGACUUCUGAACCUGAAGAUAACUUUCUGAGUUGUGUCUCAUGUUGGAGGAAAAGCAUGUAAAGGGGAGCAGAAAAGAUUUCAAAGAUUUUGUGCAGCAGAGGAUGGCAGCAAGCCAUUAAUUAUUUGCAAAGGAAUAAUAACAGAUAGAUAGGCUUUUUUUUUUUUUUUUUUUUUUGCAAGUUGAGCUAUUGAUGUGAAAUGAAUAGCUGCUGCAGAACGAUUGCAACCCACGUAACCAACUAGGAUUUUACAGUCUUUGUACAAAGAUAUUUAAAAAGAUUAACAUAGCUUUGGUAGAAUACAUUAGUAUGCUGGGAUAACAAAGCUCUUUGGAAACCUUUGGAAACUUCUUCCCAACCCCCAUCAAAUUACCUCCAAAUUCUUAUUUAUUAUUACUUAGAGAGCACGUUAAGUGCACACUGUGCAUUGUAACAAAGCCACGGCCCCUGCCCUGAAGAUUUUACAAGUCUGAGGUCUUGAUCUAAUACCUUUUUAAAUCUGUGGGAGUCUUUGCCUUGACUUCAGUGUGGUUUGGAUCAGAUCCUCGCACAGCGUUUCAUGAGACUUAGCAACAGUUCUUGUUACACUCUAGUACACCCAGCUAGCUCACGGCAAAUUCAUGGCUGAGCAGUUCCCUGCAACAGUCCCUCUAAAUGCAGUGGGGACGUUCACUCCUUGGGCGAGUGAGCGCUCACUAACCUGGGACACGCGGCCCUGGUGGGUGGGAGAACAGAGGAUGGAAGGACGGAGGUAACCAUGCUGGUUUGCUACUGGUUUUUUAGCACCAGGAGCAGCAGGCACGUGUGACACGCUAGGCUAAAAUUCCUUACGUGUGCUCUCUGCCUGAGCGUGAGCUGUGCAGCCGGCUCAGGAAGAAAAAAAAAGCUGUGGAAAUCUCUGAGGAUGCGAUCCCCUCCACGUUCUGCCCCAGCCAUCUUCCAAGCGAAAGCUAUGUGUACACAGUCUUUGCCCCAACUUAUUUAACUGCUUUGACUCAUUCCAGCUUACCGGAGUGGGGGGAAUUUACAACUCCCUUUUCUGCUACCACAGCACCAGCUCUGCAAGUAUUUAGCCUGUUGUGGACACUUGUGUGUGCUUGUUUGGAAAGGCUGCUUGUGUAUAGUUUUGCUUCAAUGCAAAUGCUUUAGGCCCCAGCGCAGCGAAGUAAUUAAGUAUAUGCUUGACUUUAAGUCCAUGAAUGAUCUCUGAAUCUGCGUCUUUGUACUCAGAACAAAACCCCUUAAAUAAAGGAAUAGCUUGAAUGCCAGCAGCCCAGCUGUUUUUGAACAACCCUCCAAUAACAAACCCGAGAGCAUUUGCAUUGGUAGAAACAAAAGUUGGAUAAGGAGGCUGAUUCACUGUCUGGCUUCUGGAGACAUUUUAUAAAUAGCUGCAAGAAAAACACAGGAGGUUUUUUUUAUUAUUAUUAUUAGUUGAUAAAACAUGUUGACAGAGUCCUUUUCAGGAUUGUAACUUGGGGGCAGCAUGUCUUUUUGGACAGCAGACACAUGGCAAACAGUUUAUUUGCUGAAGAAAGCCAGAUGCUCUAUGUCCUUGGCAGGCGAUUUGUAAGAUUAAGGAAAAUCAAGCUAGUGACUAGAGUGUGGUAAAUAAGUAAAAUAAAUAAAUAAAACAGUCGCGCUGCCCGCAAGAAACUCUUCUGUCCUUUUUGGCAGGACAGCUGGUUUUCAGCUACUUUUCUCCGCAGUGUGCGGCUGACAAGGAAGAGCAGGCCACCUGAGGAGAAGCGUUUCUUGUUUCCCAGCCACGGCCUUUGCCUUCCCAGCACAGCGCUGCUGUAUGAACGAGCUUAGAUGCCUCCAUAGACUCUCGCAGCACAUCCCAGGGAAGAUUUAUGGGCACGGUGCUGAUCGGCUGAGAGGGUGAAAGAUGCACAUGAAGGAGAAGACAAGGACCAGGAACAUUCAUGUUAAGCAUCCUUCAUCAAGCCGUUGCCCAGCCUGAGUUUGAAGCUGUUAUGUGGCAAGCAGACCACCUCUGGGAAACCUCUGAUGGGUAAUAACCUGGGGAUCAAGGGCUGGAAAACAGGCAAUACACUAUGUCUCCUACAUGUAGGGCUUGAUCCACAGCUGGCACAGAUCAGCAUCAUGCCAUUGGAAGAAGACACUUUGUAUAGACUGAGACCAGCUGAACACCAGAAUUGCCAAUAAAAUAAAGUAGUUCUGUGAAUAAACAGAAUAUUAGCAGAGGAAAAAACAGAGAUGAUAAAGUUUGUGUUGUUUAUCCUUU